This 425-nucleotide ribosomal RNA is filed under the name uncultured cyanobacterium. RNAcentral's name for it is "bacterial SSU rRNA". It matches the Rfam family "Bacterial small subunit ribosomal RNA", at positions 1074 to 1502 of the family's 1533-position model. Lineage: Bacteria; Bacillati; Cyanobacteriota. The record is from RNAcentral.
UUGGGUUAGUCCCGCACCGAGCGCAACCCUCGUUUCUAGUUGCCAUCAUUCAGUUGGGCACUCUGGAGAGACUGCCGGUGACAAACCGGAGGAAGGUGGGGAUGACGUCAAGUCAGCAUGCCCCUUACGUCCUGGGCUACACACGUACUACAAUGCUGUGGACAGAGAGUCGCAAGUCGGCGACGACAAGCCAAUCUCGUAAACCAUGGCUCAGUUCAGAUUGCAGGCUGCAACUCGCCUGCAUGAAGGAGGAAUCGCUAGUAAUCGCAGGUCAGCAUACUGCGGUGAAUACGUUCCCGGGCCUUGUACACACCGCCCGUCACACCAUGGAAGUUGGCCACGCCCGAAGUCAUUACUCCAACCGCAAGGAGGGGGAUGCCGAAGGCAGGGCUGAUGACUGGGGUGAAGUCGUAACAAGGUAACCA